CUCUCUUAAAGAUUAAGCCAUGCAAGUGUUAGUAUAGGUGAUUAUACAGCGAGACUGCGGAUAGCUCAUUAAAACAGUUCGAAAAGAAUCGAUGAAAAGGACAACUUGCAAAAGUUGGAAGUGGAUAUUAAAUGUAAUUCAUUUGAUAAUACAUGUGACUUGGAAAUACAAUGUGUCAAAGCAUUGUACGUAUUUAUUAUGAAAAUUAGGGAGUGCCACUGUAAUAGUAAAAUAUUAUGGCCCUAUUGAUUGACAAUGAAAUUUAUAAAUUGACAAAUCUAAAUGUGUUUACUCGAAUAUUUAGAUAAAAUGAACUUCAGACUGAUCCAUCAAAUCAUUCGUGGUAUCUUUGACUACGGAGUUUAUCACGGAUAACGAAAGAUCAGGGUUUGAUUUCGGAGAGAAAGCAUGAGAGUUUGCUUUCACUUCUAAGGAAGGCAGCAGGCCCGGAAAUUAUUCAAUAUCAAUUCGAUGAAAUAGUGACGAGAAUUAUUAGAAUAGGAGAUUUUAUCUGCUAUGUCUGGAAUGAGAACAAUUUAAAACCAUUAACGAGGAACUAUUGGAGGGCAAGUCUGGUGCCAGCAUCCGCGGUAAUUCCAGCUCCAAGAGCGUAUUUGAAAAUUGUUGCUGUUAAAACGCCCGUAGUUGAAUGUAGAUAAGGUUCUUUCACUAAGAUAGUUUUUGUUUGCAGACAAAAAGUGAGUUAGAAUUGAUUAAUAAGGCGAACCCUUAUUAAGAGAAAUGAAUUAGGCUAGUGUUUGUCCUUAACUGUAAAAGGUUAAGGUUUGUUUAGAUAGGAUUCGCUUUGAAUAAAUUAGAGUGCUCAGAGCAAGCGAUUAUCGCUUGAAUAUAUUAGCAUGGUACGACGAAAUUUGAUAAAUCUGAAUUUUUGGUACAACUACAGUAACGAGCUUAAUUUUGAGAUGGAUAAUAGGAGUGUUAAAGCUUUUAUUAUUCGUGAAGUCUCUUUAUUAAGAAACGAUUGUAGCGAGUGCAGAUUUAUAAUGAUUAAAAGGGGCAAAUGGGGUAAUUCAUAUUGACUGGGUAGAGGUGAAAUUCUAUGAUCCAGUCAAGAUGCACUAAUGCGAAAGCAUUUUACCAAAAUGUUUUCUUUAAUCAAGGACGAAGGUUGUGGGCGCGAAGAUGAUUAGAUACCGUUGUAGUCACAACAGUAAACGAUGUUGAUUUAGGAUUGUGAAAAGUUAAUAUUAUGACUUUUACAGCACUAUGUGAGAAAUCAAAAUAUUUAAACUCAGGGGGAAGUAUGGACGCAAGUCUGAAACUUAAAAGAAUUGACGGAAGAGCACCACCAGGCGUGGAAUCUGCGGCUUAAUUUGACUCAACACGGGGAAACUUACCAGGUUAGGAUUUAAAAAGGAUUGACAGACUGAUCGCUCUUUCAUGAUAUUAAAGAUAGUGGUGCAUGGCCGUUUUUAGUUGGUGUUUUGAAAUGUCUGGUUUAUUCUGAUAACGAACGAGACCUCAUUCUAUUAAAUAGUUUGUAGGUUAGAGCAAUUAGAAGUUUCCAUUAUCAGUUUUCUGGUGGUGGACUUCAUAGGUUUAACAUAAAAAACUUCUUAAAGAUACUCUUUACGUUAUAGUAAAUGGAAGAGAGACAAUAACAGGUCUGUUAUGCCCUUCGAUAUCCUGGGCUGCACGCGCGUUACAAUGAAAUAUUCAAUGAGUUAAUCGAAUCCAAAAGGAUUGAGGAAAUCUUAUAACCCAUUUCGUGAUGGGGAUUGUGUUUUGCAAUUAUCGCACAUGAACGAGGAAUGCCUUGUAUUGGCUUGUCAUCAACAAGCUAAGAAUAAGUCCCUGCUCUUUGUACACACCGCCCGUCGCUCCUACUGAUUGAAUUU
This 1859-nucleotide ribosomal RNA is filed under the name uncultured soil eukaryote. Its description in RNAcentral is "partial small subunit ribosomal RNA". It matches the Rfam family "Eukaryotic small subunit ribosomal RNA". The record is from RNAcentral.